Molecule: ribosomal RNA, 507 nt
Filed under: Macaca fascicularis (crab-eating macaque)
Lineage: Eukaryota; Metazoa; Chordata; Mammalia; Primates; Cercopithecidae
Description: partial 12S ribosomal RNA
Rfam family: Bacterial small subunit ribosomal RNA
Source: RNAcentral
GCCCUAAACCUCAGUAGUUAAAUAACAAAACUACUCGCCAGAAUACUACAAGCAACAGCUUAAAACUCAAAGGACUUGACGGUGCUUUACAUCCCCCUAGAGGAGCCUGUUCCGUAAUCGAUAAACCCCGAUCCACCCCACCCUCUCUUGCUCAGCCUAUAUACCGCCAUCUUCAGCAAACCCUAAUGAAGGCCACAAAGUGAGCGCAAACGCCACUGCCGCGAAUACGUUAGGUCAAGGUGUAGCCCAUGAGACGGUAAAAAAUGGGCUACAUUUUCUAUUUCAGAAAACCCACGAAAACCCUUAUGAAACUUAAGGGUCCAAGGAGGAUUUAGCAGUAAAUUAAGAAUAGAGUGCUUAAUUGAACCAGGCCAUAAAGCGCGCACACACCGCCCGUCACUCCUCUCAAAUAUAUUUAAGGAAUAUCCUAACUAAACGCCCUAAUAUUUAUAUAGAGAGGAUAAGUCGUAACAUGGUAAGCGUACUGGAAGGUGCGCUUGGAUAAAU